GACGGAGGAUGCAAGCGUUAUCCGGAAUGAUUGGGCGUAAAGCGUCCGCAGGUGGCAGUUCAAGUCUGCUGUCAAAGACCGGGGCUUAACUUCGGAAAGGCAGUGGAAACUGAACAGCUAGAGUAUGGUAGGGGCAGAGGGAAUUCCUGGUGUAGCGGUGAAAUGCGUAGAGAUCAGGAAGAACAUCGGUGGCGAAGGCGCUCUGCUGGACCAUAACUGACACUCAGGGACGAAAGCUAGGGGAGCGAAUGGG
RNAcentral lists this ribosomal RNA (253 nucleotides) under Oscillatoria sp. RNAcentral describes it as "partial 16S ribosomal RNA". It matches the Rfam family "Bacterial small subunit ribosomal RNA", at positions 524 to 776 of the family's 1533-position model. The record is from RNAcentral. RNAcentral also lists the same sequence under 3 other names. Lineage: Bacteria; Bacillati; Cyanobacteriota; Cyanophyceae; Oscillatoriales; Oscillatoriaceae.